Molecule: transfer RNA, 73 nt
Filed under: Bacteroidales bacterium 52_46
Lineage: Bacteria; Pseudomonadati; Bacteroidota; Bacteroidia; Bacteroidales
Description: tRNA-Ala
Rfam family: tRNA
About the family: Transfer RNA (tRNA) molecules are approximately 80 nucleotides in length. Their secondary structure includes four short double-helical elements and three loops (D, anti-codon, and T loops). Further hydrogen bonds mediate the characteristic L-shaped molecular structure. tRNAs have two regions of fundamental functional importance: the anti-codon, which is responsible for specific mRNA codon recognition, and the 3' end, to which the tRNAs corresponding amino acid is attached (by aminoacyl-tRNA synthetases). tRNAs cope with the degeneracy of the genetic code in two manners: having more than one tRNA (with a specific anti-codon) for a particular amino acid; and 'wobble' base-pairing, i.e. permitting non-standard base-pairing at the 3rd anti-codon position.
Source: RNAcentral
GGGGUAUUAGCUCAGUUGGUAGAGCGUCUGCUUUGCACGCAGAAAGUCGGGGGUUCGAGUCCCUUAUGCUCCA